Molecule: long non-coding RNA, 1835 nt
Organism: Rosa rugosa (rugosa rose)
Lineage: Eukaryota; Viridiplantae; Streptophyta; Magnoliopsida; Rosales; Rosaceae
Exons: 2
Source: RefSeq, a predicted model, not a curated record
GAGAGGAAGAAGAAGAAGGAGCCGUGAAGAUCAUAUCCUCCAUCGUCCACCUUGAAGACUUGCUUCCAAGAUUCAAGAUCCAACCAUCAAGCUCUCCAUCUCCAUCUCCACUCACGGGUUAAAUUGCGCGCUUACUCAUAGCGCUGUCAUUCCCAUGCUCAGGUAAGGGCCUCUCAGGCCAAAAGUACUCCUAUAUUCCCGUACCUUUAUGCCUCAGAGGCGGAUAGUGUAUUGGGAUUUCGUGAUACCGCCACUAAGGCAGCACCAGAUCACCACAAAGGCGGAAAAGACUUUCAUGACUCCACUGCGAAGGUAGUAGUCACAUCACCUCGAAAGGCGGAACAACAUGCUAGCAUGGUAAUAUGAUCACAACAAGUAUGACAUAUGAAAAAUCGAAAAUCGAUAUGCUUUCCCAAAAUCUCGCAACCAAGGCACAAAUACAGUUCCCAACUGUACUUGAAAAAUCUCAAGUAAAAAGACAUGCUCAAAAACAUAAUAACAAAAGCGAUUAGCAAUUUCCAUAUGAUUUCCCAAAUCAAUAAUUAAUAAAGUGUGAAAUUAAAGAAAUUCAUAAUUCAAUUAAUAAAUAUGUUUCGGAAAAUUCAAUAUUAUUUAAAUCCGUCAAGCAGGUUCAAUUCCGAACGUCAUACAGAAGUCAAGUCAAGUAAGCCAUUCAAAAUUCAUUUUCGAAAAUAAUGACCAAAAACCAAAUCAAUAAACCAAACUCAAAUGCAUUAAAUAAAUAAUACGAUAAUUAGUUAAAGAAAACAAUAUUUCGAGAGGAAAACUUUUCUCCUAACCUUUAGAGCCGUUUUUCCGUCAGGUAUGUAUGCCUGGUCGACAGCACGCCCUCGCGGCGGCGACGUCGGACAGGCCAGAGUGGACCUUGUGUCCGGGUUUAUGUGGUCUAGCUGGAGGAAGGAUUGUGGAGUGACGACGGCGCUACCUUGGGCGUUUGGAGAAUCUAAUGGGGAAGGGCAGCGACGGGAUGGUAGGAUGGCAGGGCUGAGGUUGCGUUACUUCAGAGAGAAGCGCAGAUGCUCUGGUUCAUGGAUCGAGGUGGUGACGCGGGAGCGGAAGGCGCCUGGUGGUGUUGGCCACGUGGUGGCAACACUGAGAUCUACUCUGCUCAGGUCGGAUCCAUCUUAUUCGAUUGGGGAAGGACGGUUUGGCUUCAAUCUGGAGAGGGGCGACGAGUCCAAUAGGCGUGAGGUAGGCGGUGGCGGCGCGGCUGCCGGUGGUGGGAUGGCAUGGGCAGCGCAGGCGGGGUGGUGGUGUCGUGGAGUCUGCAACCUGAAUUUUGGGCUUGGACCUAGUGGUUUGUGGGUCUGGGCUUUGGAUCUGGACUCCUGUUAUUUUCUAAAUUUAAUUUACUGUUUUUUUAUUAUUAUAUUUAGUAAGAUGUGGCUUUAUGCCAGAAAUAAGUCCCUAUCACUAUUGGGUAGGGCGAUGUGAGCGUUGUCCCGAUAUGCACACUCAAUGUGCUUUGUCUAGCCUACCGAGGCGGCGAGCUGUUUGCAUGGUUAAAUGGACGCAACCUCCUAGUGGUAGGAUGAAACGAAGUGUCGCUAGAUUUAUUUCCGUGCGGCAACAUAGUGGGAAAGCUGUAUUAUUUGUAAUGAUGCUUCUUUGUGAUAGAGUUAUCUUUUCGGUAUGUCAUUGCUAUGCAUGUCAAAGCAAAUAGAGUAGCCAUUCGUGCACACUUUGCUAAUUGGUGCUUGUUAGAAUACAUAGAUUUUGUGGAGAUUCCUGGUAUUAUUUCAGGAUGUUAUCUCGAUGCUUAUUGUAAUUUGGGGUUCAGGCUUCACGUUCCCCCUUUGUAUUCUGCAGUUUCA